Molecule: ribosomal RNA, 483 nt
Filed under: uncultured bacterium
Lineage: Bacteria
Description: partial 16S ribosomal RNA
Rfam family: Bacterial small subunit ribosomal RNA
Source: RNAcentral
GACGAACGCUGGCGGCGUGCUUAACACAUGCAAGUCGAACGAUGAAGCGGGUGCUUGCACUCGUGGAUUAGUGGCGAACGGGCGAGUAACACGUGAGUAACCUGUCCUUUUCUUUGGGAUAACGGCUGGAAACGGCUGCUAAUACUGGAUAUUCAGGCUGCAUCGCAUGGUGUGGUUUGGAAAGGUUUUUUCUGGGAUUGGGUGGGCUCGCGGCCUAUCAGCUUGUUGGUGGGGUGAUGGCUUACCAAGGCUUUGACGGGUAGCCGGCCUGAGAGGGUGGUCGGUCGCACUGGGACUGAGAUACGGCCCAGACUCCUACGGGAGGCAGCAGUGGGGAAUAUUGCACAAUGGACGAAAGGUUGAUGCAGCGACGCCGCGUGGAGGGUGUAGGCCUUCGGGUUGUGAACUCCUUUGUCUCGCGAAAAAGGCACAGUUUUGGCUGUGUUGAUGGUAGUGGGGGAAGAAGCGCCGGCUAACUACGUG